GAUGAACGCUGGCGGCGUGCCUAAUACAUGCAAGUCGAGCGAACAGAUGAGGAGCUUGCUCCUCUGACGUUAGCGGCGGACGGGUGAGUAACACGUGGAUAACCUACCUAUAAGACUGGGAUAACUUCGGGAAACCGGAGCUAAUACCGGAUAAUAUAUUGAACCGCAUGGUUCAAUAGUGAAAGACGGUUUUGCUGUCACUUAUAGAUGGAUCCGCGCCGCAUUAGCUAGUUGGUAAGGUAACGGCUUACCAAGGCAACGAUGCGUAGCCGACCUGAGAGGGUGAUCGGCCACACUGGAACUGAGACACGGUCCAGACUCCUACGGGAGGCAGCAGUAGGGAAUCUUCCGCAAUGGGCGAAAGCCUGACGGAGCAACGCCGCGUGAGUGAUGAAGGUCUUCGGAUCGUAAAACUCUGUUAUUAGGGAAGAACAAAUGUGUAAGUAGCUAUGCACGUCUUGACGGUACCUAAUCAGAAAGCCACGGCUAACUACGUG
This 497-nucleotide ribosomal RNA is filed under the name uncultured bacterium. RNAcentral's name for it is "partial 16S ribosomal RNA". It matches the Rfam family "Bacterial small subunit ribosomal RNA", at positions 28 to 507 of the family's 1533-position model. The record is from RNAcentral.